UGGUCUGGAACUUCUGAGUUCAAGCGGUCC
Molecule: non-coding RNA, 30 nt
Filed under: Homo sapiens (human)
Lineage: Eukaryota; Metazoa; Chordata; Mammalia; Primates; Hominidae
Source: RNAcentral